This 370-nucleotide unclassified non-coding RNA is filed under the name Hevea brasiliensis (rubber tree). Lineage: Eukaryota; Viridiplantae; Streptophyta; Magnoliopsida; Malpighiales; Euphorbiaceae. The record is from RNAcentral.
AGAAGCCACCAUAUGAGUUAAGGCAGCAUAACGUUCCUCAUUUAGAUACAAUGGUUUUCCCCUAUGCAUGUCAAUAUCCUCUUCUCCAAAUACAUCCAAAUAAGGUGACGGCCACGGUGCCUGACGAGCAGACCUUUGGAGCAAUACAGUAGUUUUUCUGAUCAACAAGAACACCCCAGUAACAGCACCACAGGCCAUUGCAUGAGUUUGACACCCACUUUCUCUGCAGCAUGUCUUCCAACUUGCUGAACACAAUUUACCACAUAACAAGCACAAAGCAGGAUCCUUCUGAACAGCUCCGCAAUCUGGGCACUUCUGUUUAAUAUACCUCUGCAAGAGAUCCUGAUAAAGAUGAGGCAAAAGCAUCAGU